Molecule: transfer RNA, 76 nt
Filed under: Thalassospira sp. MCCC 1A01428
Lineage: Bacteria; Pseudomonadati; Pseudomonadota; Alphaproteobacteria; Rhodospirillales; Thalassospiraceae
Also listed under: 1 other name
Description: tRNA-Lys
Rfam family: tRNA
About the family: Transfer RNA (tRNA) molecules are approximately 80 nucleotides in length. Their secondary structure includes four short double-helical elements and three loops (D, anti-codon, and T loops).
Source: RNAcentral
GGGCCCGUAGCUCAGUUGGUAGAGCAAUUGACUUUUAAUCAAUUGGCCACAGGUUCGAAUCCUGUCGGGCUCACCA